This 2167-nucleotide ribosomal RNA is filed under the name Vibrio cholerae. RNAcentral's name for it is "partial 23S ribosomal RNA". It matches the Rfam family "Bacterial large subunit ribosomal RNA", at positions 789 to 2925 of the family's 2925-position model. The record is from RNAcentral. Lineage: Bacteria; Pseudomonadati; Pseudomonadota; Gammaproteobacteria; Vibrionales; Vibrionaceae.
UUGAAAAAUUAGCGGAUGACUUGUGGCUAGGGGUGAAAGGCCAAUCAAACUCGGAGAUAGCUGGUUCUCCCCGAAAGCUAUUUAGGUAGCGCCUCGGACGAAUACUACUGGGGGUAGAGCACUGUUAAGGCUAGGGGGUCAUCCCGACUUACCAACCCUUUGCAAACUCCGAAUACCAGUAAGUACUAUCCGGGAGACACACGGCGGGUGCUAACGUCCGUCGUGGAGAGGGAAACAACCCAGACCGCCAGCUAAGGUCCCAAAGUAUUGCUAAGUGGGAAACGAUGUGGGAAGGCUCAGACAGCUAGGAUGUUGGCUUAGAAGCAGCCAUCAUUUAAAGAAAGCGUAAUAGCUCACUAGUCGAGUCGGCCUGCGCGGAAGAUGUAACGGGGCUAAGCAAUACACCGAAGCUGCGGCAAUGUCUUUUAGACAUUGGGUAGGGGAGCGUUCUGUAAGCCGUUGAAGGUGAAUCGUAAGGUUUGCUGGAGGUAUCAGAAGUGCGAAUGCUGACAUGAGUAACGACAAAGGGGGUGAAAAACCUCCUCGCCGGAAGACCAAGGGUUCCUGUCCAACGUUAAUCGGGGCAGGGUGAGUCGACCCCUAAGGUGAGGCCGAAAGGCGUAAUCGAUGGGAAACGGGUUAAUAUUCCCGUACUUCUGACUAUUGCGAUGGGGGGACGGAGAAGGCUAGGUGGGCCAGGCGACGGUUGUCCUGGUUCAAGUGCGUAGGCUUGAGAGUUAGGUAAAUCCGGCUCUCUCUAAGGCUGAGACACGACGUCGAGCUACUACGGUAGUGAAGUCAUUGAUGCCAUGCUUCCAGGAAAAGCCUCUAAGCUUCAGAUAGUCAGGAAUCGUACCCCAAACCGACACAGGUGGUCGGGUAGAGAAUACCAAGGCGCUUGAGAGAACUCGGGUGAAGGAACUAGGCAAAAUGGUACCGUAACUUCGGGAGAAGGUACGCUCUUGAUGGUGAAGUCCCUCGCGGAUGGAGCUGACGAGAGUCGCAGAUACCAGGUGGCUGCAACUGUUUAUUAAAAACACAGCACUGUGCAAAAUCGCAAGAUGACGUAUACGGUGUGACGCCUGCCCGGUGCCGGAAGGUUAAUUGAUGGGGUUAGCGCAAGCGAAGCUCUUGAUCGAAGCCCCGGUAAACGGCGGCCGUAACUAUAACGGUCCUAAGGUAGCGAAAUUCCUUGUCGGGUAAGUUCCGACCUGCACGAAUGGCGUAAUGAUGGCCACGCUGUCUCCACCCGAGACUCAGUGAAAUUGAAAUCGCUGUGAAGAUGCAGUGUACCCGCGGCUAGACGGAAAGACCCCGUGAACCUUUACUACAGCUUGGCACUGAACAUUGAACCUACAUGUGUAGGAUAGGUGGGAGGCUAUGAAGACGUGACGCCAGUUGCGUUGGAGCCGUCCUUGAAAUACCACCCUUGUAUGUUUGAUGUUCUAACUUAGACCCAUUAUCUGGGUUGAGGACAGUGCCUGGUGGGUAGUUUGACUGGGGCGGUCUCCUCCCAAAGAGUAACGGAGGAGCACGAAGGUGGGCUAAUCACGGUUGGACAUCGUGAGGUUAGUGCAAUGGCAUAAGCCCGCUUAACUGCGAGAAUGACGGUUCGAGCAGGUGCGAAAGCAGGUCAUAGUGAUCCGGUGGUUCUGUAUGGAAGGGCCAUCGCUCAACGGAUAAAAGGUACUCCGGGGAUAACAGGCUGAUACCGCCCAAGAGUUCAUAUCGACGGCGGUGUUUGGCACCUCGAUGUCGGCUCAUCACAUCCUGGGGCUGAAGUCGGUCCCAAGGGUAUGGCUGUUCGCCAUUUAAAGUGGUACGCGAGCUGGGUUUAGAACGUCGUGAGACAGUUCGGUCCCUAUCUGCCGUGGGCGUUGGAAGAUUGAAGGGGGCUGCUCCUAGUACGAGAGGACCGGAGUGGACGAACCUCUGGUGUUCGGGUUGUGUCGCCAGACGCAUUGCCCGGUAGCUAAGUUCGGAAUUGAUAAGCGCUGAAAGCAUCUAAGCGCGAAGCGAGCCCUGAGAUGAGUCUUCCCUGACAGUUUAACUGUCCUAAAGGGUUGUUCGAGACUAGAACGUUGAUAGGCAGGGUGUGUAAGCGUUGUGAGGCGUUGAGCUAACCUGUACUAAUUGCCCGUGAGGCUUAACCAUACAACACCCAAGG